Molecule: long non-coding RNA, 1262 nt
Organism: Eupeodes corollae
Lineage: Eukaryota; Metazoa; Arthropoda; Insecta; Diptera; Syrphidae
Exons: 4
Source: RefSeq, a predicted model, not a curated record
GCACCAUUGUGAGCAAGCAAAACACGGCUGCGCAGUGUGCUUUCCUCUAGUAAGUUCAUGUUUACUUUUCCCUUUUUUUUGUAUUCUUGUUUUUAUUUCAUAUUUUGUUUAUUUUCAUUUCUUUUUUUUCAGAAAUUACAACUUUAAAUACCUGAAUAUGUCCAGGCGUCCGCAACAAAAUUUGUUGCUUAUUGAGAUAUAUUCUCAAUAAGUAGCAAAAACAGACAUUUUCGGCCGCCUGUGAAAAGAAUCCAAGCGAAGACGAUAACGGGACACUCAAUGGACGCUGAAAUAAGUUUAUUAAUUUCUAUUUAUUUUACUUUAUAGGUACAACUUAUUUAUCCCUUUUCAUUUUAGAUAUCUUGGCCGAUUAACUGACUGUGGGGAAAAACCCACGUUAAAAGCCGGGCAAUCCCUUUGGUGCAACGUUUAAUUUAAGCUGUACCUCUAGACCUGGACCAAAAGAAAACUACAUCUUGAUUUCCGACCUAUAUCAACCUUAGUGAUUUUAGGUGCGAUUUGUUUUCAAUAUAAAUGGUAAUUAUCCAUUAGACAAGUGAAAUUACGUAUACAUACAUAAAUAUCUAUACAUCUAACCAUCAACAUGCAUUUCCAGGUAUUUUUUUUUGACUGUUGGGACCCUACCUGCUGGAGAGACAUGGUGACCAAAGUUUGGGAUGCUGGGAGAAAUUGUAAAAUCAACCAGUUAACGAUUUGUACUUUCGCUUCAUCUCUAUCUGCCACCACUACGAACUUCUACGUUACAGCACCCAUACACCAUUCAAGUGAUUGUUGUUAAACAAAAAAAAUUAAAAAGAGGCUGGGAUGCGACCCACACUGAUAACUUCCCAUCCCGUCUAUCGAUUUGUCUUGCUUAAAAGUUUGUCUUUAUGUAUUUUUACCAAAUUUCCGCACUAUUUUUUGUAGAUUUUAUUUUUUAUGAAAAAACGGACUGUUGGAUUUUUAUAUACAAAUUACUGAAUAUUGAAAACAAUAUUUUCUCCGAAAUAAAAUAUGUUUGAAGCCAAUAUUUUUAAUUUUUGAAAAGCUAUUUGAGCCGAAAGUAAAUUUUUACCAAGUUUUAGUAUUUUUUUUUAGAGUUUUAUUUUUUGUAAAAAAACUGUCAAUUCGAAUUUUUUAAAAAUUGUACCAACUGUCGAAAACAAUAUUUCUUAUAAGAUAAAAUUAGUUUGAAGCCAAUAUUUAAAAUUUUUGAAGAGAUAUUUGAGUCGAAAAUCAAUUUUUACCAACUUUUAUACAUU